RNAcentral lists this ribosomal RNA (398 nucleotides) under uncultured Bradyrhizobiaceae bacterium. RNAcentral's name for it is "bacterial SSU rRNA". It matches the Rfam family "Bacterial small subunit ribosomal RNA", at positions 354 to 769 of the family's 1533-position model. Lineage: Bacteria; Pseudomonadati; Pseudomonadota; Alphaproteobacteria; Hyphomicrobiales; Nitrobacteraceae. The record is from RNAcentral.
GUGGGGAAUAUUGGACAAUGGGCGCAAGCCUGAUCCAGCCAUGCCGCGUGGGUGAUGAAGGCCUUAGGGUUGUAAAGCCCUUUCGGCGGGGAAGAUAAUGACGGUACCCGCAGAAGAAGCCCCGGCUAACUUUGUGCCAGCAGCCGCGGUAAUACGAAGGGGGCUAGCGUUUCUCGGAAUCAUUGGGCGUAAAGCGCAUGUAGGCGGAUUUUUAAGUCAGGGGUGAAAUCCCGGAGCUCAACUCCAGAACUGCCUUUCAUACUGGAGAUCUAGAGUCCGGGAGAGGAGAGUGGAACUCCGAGUGUAGAGGUGAAAUUCGUAGAUAUUAGCAAGCACACCAGUGACGAAGGCGGCUCUCUGGCCCGGUACAGAUGCUGAGGUACGGAAGCGUGGGCGCG